Molecule: ribosomal RNA, 253 nt
Filed under: uncultured bacterium
Lineage: Bacteria
Description: partial 16S ribosomal RNA
Rfam family: Bacterial small subunit ribosomal RNA
Source: RNAcentral
UACGGAGGGGACUAGCGUUGUUCGGAAUUACUGGGCGUAAAGCGCACGUAGGCGGAUUUGUAAGUCAGGGGUGAAAUCCCGGGGCUCAACCUCGGAACUGCCUUUGAUACUGCAAAUCUCGAGUCCGGAAGAGGUGAGUGGAAUUCCUAGUAUAGAGGUGAAAUUCGUAGAUAUUAGGAAGAACACCAGUGGCGAAGGCGGCUCACUGGUCCGGUACUGACGCUGAGACGCGAAAGCGUGGGGAGCGAACAGG